ACAUAAGAUAUUUUGGAAGUGAACAUCAUUUUUUCAUUUUGGGAAUACACAGAAAUCGCUAAUUGCUCUUAGUCACUCUAUUCAUCUCCUUUCAUCUUCUUUAGCCUCUUCUUCGAUCCUUUGAACAAUUUCUCUCCCAAACAACCAGAACACUAGAGCUCUUCUUCUCCUCCGUCUAACCAAGCAAACAUCUGCAUCGAUUCUGAGCAAACUUGUGGUGAGCUUGUGAAGUUUUGCAGAGAUAUCAAUCUCAUGGAAAUGGAGGGAUGGAGGUUUUAUCAUGAAAUCUGAGAAAUAUUUGAGGUUUUCUUCUUCAAUUGUUGGAGGUUUUCUUCUUCAAUCUUCGAGGUUAUAGCUGAAGAUACUACAAGUUUGAGCUUUUGAGUUGUCAUAUCUAUACAAGGGACUUUUCAGGAUCAUACUGAUCCUUUCAAAAAGCACCUGGAUCCACAUACCUACCAGGCUCUUCCGGUGGGAAUUGCUCCUACUGCAUUAAUUCUUGUACCCACAAGGGAAUUGUGUCAGCAGGUUGAAAUUUGCUGCUUUUAUUUUGGGAUUUUUUGAUUUUUUUUUGGUUUUCAGUUUGUGGGUAUAUUUUAUUUGUGUUUGUUGUAUAGGUUUGUUCAGAGGCUAAUUCAUUAAUUGAACUAUGUAGAGUGCAAUCGAGGCUUGUCCAAUUGACAAGCUCUAUGUCUGUUUCUGAAUUGAAAACUACCUUGGUGGGGCCUCCGAAAAUUGUUUUAUCUACUCCUGCUUGUUUAUAGACAUGCUUGUCAACUGGAGUUAUUCAAGUGAAAGUUGUUCAAGAUUUUCUAUCCAUUCUCAUUCUCGAUGAGGCAGAUCUUCUUUUGUCAUAUGGAUAUGAAGAUGAUCUGAAAGCUCUUACAUCUCAUGUAUCAAGACAUUGCCAGUGCCUUCUGAUGUCUGCAACCUCAAGUCAUGUUAACAUUGCAGUUCUGAUGUUGAAAAGCUGAAGAAGCUUAUUUUACACAAUCCAUAUAUCCUAACUUUGCCUGAGGUGGGAGACGCAAAGGAUGACGUUAUCCCAACAAAUGUUCAGCAAUUUUAUGGUGAUCCCCAUACUUUUGCCUUCUGUAAUAACUUGAGUAAGAAGCUGCAUCUUCUGUGUUAAGCCGUGGAUUUAAGAGGUAUCUAAAAUGGAAUUGUUGAAGUUUGUUCUAUUAUACCUCCGAGUCUAUGUGGAUGGUGCAGUCCAGAGAGGGAGUGCUUUUUGAGUCAUAGUUGAAAGUUAUGGGGAGUCGUGGAUCCGCAGGAUGUGCAAGAGUGUAGCUUUUGCUUGUACAAAACCCAAUAGCAGCCUGGUUGACAAGCUUUUAAAAUUAGCUUAUUUUGAAAAGUGCUAUUUCAAAAGAGUACUUUUGGUGAGAAGCAGUUUGGAUUUGGCUAAUCGAUUUAAAAAGCACUUUUGAGUAGCACUUGUUGCUUUUACUAGUCACUUCUGAAACUUCUUGAAACACGGUGGAGGCAAAUGUAUAAUGCUUAGCUUUGGAUGAUGAAGUUCGGUAAAGUCCCAUGGAGGAUUACUCUUUCAAUGUGAUGAUGUUUUUAGCUUUAACGACACUGGCCACACUUAAGAUAAGGUGAAACAAAUGAAUAAAUGGAAGACAAAAGGAUUGGACUUUACGUAAAGAGUGUUCGUAGAUUGUUUCUAGAGACCUUAACAUUCUAGGAAUGUCCAUUUUUGAAUUGAAUUUUUUAGAUUUUUGUAUAUAUAAAAUAAAAUUAAUAUCACUAGCAAGAAUUUUUGGUCUAUGAUUAUGCUGAUGAAUACUUUUUAUCGUGAUUUAUUUGAAUUUUAG
This is an RNA transcript of Solanum dulcamara, 1820 nucleotides long. It is a transcript of the gene named DEAD-box ATP-dependent RNA helicase 16-like, with no coding region annotated. The transcript has 9 exons. NCBI's taxonomy places the organism in Eukaryota, Viridiplantae, Streptophyta, Magnoliopsida, Solanales, Solanaceae. The record is from RefSeq and is a predicted model, not a curated record.